AUGUAUUACUAUUCUGUAGCUAAUAUACCUUUUUAUUAUUUCAGUUUUGGUAACAUAAUAUCAAAUAUGAAAGUUGCCAGAUCUGCUACAGCCAGAGCUAGUACAAGACCAGAGCAUCAGAUUAAGUUUGAUGAAGGAUUUGACAAUUACGUUAGCUGGGAAAAGACUGCUGAUCUUAGAAAAAGACACCUCACCUUCACUUUGGAAUGUGGAAUUUGUGAAGCAGUUAGCCACAGUAAACAAACCAGUCCUUUUGGAAUGGGGUUCAAGAGAAGAUCCAGUGGACUAAAGAGGGUAAACUGUGGGAGUUCCCUAUUAACAAUGAAGCAGCAUUGAUCAUGAUAACGUGACAUCAGAAAGCUUGGAUGGAGCCUAAAGUGAAAGAUCAUUUGUGAGUUGAUUUCAACCACAAAGACAAAAUGCAAAGAUUAACAAACAAUCGUUUCUAUCGUUCUUUGGUAUGCUGGUUGAGAAAUAAGUAAGUCAUAUAAUCCAAAUGUACUGAAUUGUUUUUUUCCAGAAUAUUACAGGGGUACAAAUGUUUUGGCUACAUGAAUUGUACUGACUUUAAACAUAAUUCUUAGCCUUAGUUAAUGGAAUAGAGAAUACUCGUGUACCUUCUUUUGUAAUAACUGUUAACUGUAUGCAAGUAAAAUUUGGCAAACUCAUAAUUUAAAGACCUCAUUCUAUGCCUGAUUUUUCCUUAAAAAUACUACUUUGUAGGCAGUGUGAUAAUAUGCAUAUGCAGUCACUUUAACCACUUCGGUACCAGCACUGACUAUAGUUGAUAGCCACAGAUGAACACGCACAGCCAAGCGUCGAUUAUAGUCCAUAGCCACAGAUGGACGCAUGGACGCGCACAGCGACUUUAACCGACAGCCAUGACAUGAAGGCGCACAGCCAAACAUUGACUUUAGCUGACAGCCGUGAUAUAACUUUUCUAAUUUUGCAUUUAUCAAAAUAAAAUUGUGAACAUUUAAAAAUAACAUAAUGAAAACAUAUGUAUAUGUUACCUAUUCAGAUUUACAUUACAAGUAAAGCUGUCUGUAAAGUAAAACAAGCUUUCAGUGCUUUAAAGCUUUCCUCAUCACAUAAGAGCAAAACGGAUUCGUCGUCAAUGCAUAGCACAAAUUAUCGUGCAGACUAUGAGUGCCAGCUGUGGGCAAGGUUUUGUGGCUGUUGAGUGUGGUACCAAAGUGGUUAAGCUUUUCCUAUGGAGGCAGUUCAUUGCCCUAAUGGUGGAUGCUUUGUUCAAUGAUGGUGAGCUAGUGUUCUACUUAGGAAGUCAGUCCACAGAGAUGGUCUCUACAAGGGCUUCAGUUGCCCCAUCUUGAUUAACACCUGAAACAUUGUUAAUUACCACAGUGAAGGUAACCCCAUAAUCAUUAAAUAAGGCUGCCUAUGUCAGAAACUCAAAUUCUUGCCUUUUUGGUGGUCUGAAUAUCUUUCCCUGGUAUGAUUUAUUAUUGAAUAGUAAAUACAGUUGAUCUUCCUGUUGAAAAGCAGCAGAUACUAUAAAUGCCUUUCUUUUUGUAAAAGCUACUCUCCUUUUUCUAAGUCCUAGAUGGACUUCCAUGAGCCAUUCUUCUAGGACAUCAGAACUCCCACCUAGAAAGUUCCCUUUUUCAUGGAUCCUCAGCCCAGGCCAAGGGGAUUUGAUAAUCUGAACUCCAGCCCUUCUUUAUAAACAGACUGAAAGAAUAACAUAAUAUCAAUGUCUAUCUGUGCUUAAGAGUUUUGAGCUAUUGAUCAGAGUCCAAAAUUGGCUUAUGGAGGAGAACUUAAAGACAUAAAGAAAUACCAUUUAAGAUAUGUUUCCAAAGUGUGUUUCUCACACAUUUCUACUGUGAGAAAGAGGUUCUGUUUUCAAACAAGUUUAGGAACCUCAGCAUAACCUGGUUCCCUCCUAGAGAUUGCCUGUGCUUAUCAGCAGCAAAGAAAUAUGUGCAAUUUCUGAGAUUUACUAAAAUAUUUCAAAAGUUAGGAAAGUGUUAUGGUGACAGCAUGGGUUCUUAAGUCAGAUAGGUUCAAAUGAGGUCUGCCUCAUCCCAGGCUGGUGACAGUGGGCAAGUUACUCACCCUCUCUGACUCAUUUCUUUCAUCUGUAAAAUAGAGAUAACAAUAUUAUAGACCUCAUAGGAUUAUUAUGAGAGUUAAUGCAUUGUUAUAUGUAAAGCAUUUAGAAUAGCACCUAACACACAGGUGCUAUUAUUGUUAAUUCCUGUUAAUAUCUCCCAAACUAGUUUUCGAUUAUAUGUACUUCAGGAAAUGCUGGCUUAAUGAAACAUUUAUUUGUUUCUUUCCUACCAAUGACAACCAGGAAAUAGCCCUUGAUACUGGAAUGUUCAUUGUUCUGGAAUUUUCUUUCUUUUUCUCUGUAUCCUUUCAGAAGUCAGUACCUGAAUCCAACUCCUCAUCCCUGCGCUCUCAGGUCUUGUUCACAUUUUCAAAAUUGAUUCCAGAGUGGCCUGGAUGGUAAACAAAAUAAGGAAGAAGAAAGGGGAUGUAAUCAUGAAUGCUAUGCCUGCCUGUCUUCCUCCCUUCCUUUCUUCUCUUUCAAGUGAAUACACACACACACACACACACACACGCAGCUCAGAGGCUGCCACAGAAACUGCACCCUGCUGCACCCUGAAACUGUUUCUAUGGUUCCCAUCACAGUUCCUUAUGAUUUUACAUUUUUAUGUCAUGGAAUGCUGUCAGGAAGAAAAUCCUGAUUGCCUUCCAAAAUACCAAACUUUUAGUGUAUAUGAUUGUUACUCGUUAGCAGAGUUAUGGAUGUUUUAACAGCCUCUAAAAUAAAUUCCAGCAACAAUAACAACAACAGGUUAGUUGACUGAAAUGAGUGGUAAAAGGUAUUGACAGCAUCAAUAGAGGUACCAGGUUUCUAUAACCACUAUAAGAGUUUCUAGGUAACUUUCUUUCUUUUUGUAACUAAGUGGAAAAAAUAAGAAUAGGUCAGAAGAGGGACACUUCUUACUCACAGACCAUUGGGGAACCUUAGUUCAGUAGCAGACAAAACCCUUAGGAAACUAUCAUAAUGCCUGUGUCUGAGACUCUAUCAAGAAUGAGCCAAGAUGGGAGGAACAUUGAGCUUAGCAGUUUGAGACCAGCCUAAGCAAGAGCGAGACCUCAUUUCUAAAAAUAGAAAAAUUAACUGGGCGCAGUUGCUUGUGCUUAUAGUCCCAGCUAUUCAGGAGGCUGAGGCAGGAGGAUUGCUUGAGCCCAGGAGUUUGAAGUUGCAGUGAGCUAUGGAUGAUGCCACACUGCACUCUAGCCCAAGAUGACAAAAACAAGAUUCUAUCUAAAAAAAGAAUAAACCAAGAGAGGAGAGAAUCUUAUUUGGAAGCAAGAAGGUAGUACAGGGAACAAAAAAGCCCUCCAUGCAAAGAUAGGAGCUAAUAGACCCUUUAUCUGUCCCUCAACCUCAAGAGUUCUCUACCACCAUGUGAGGCUGGUGCCCCAAACGAAAACUACCAUCACAUUGGAUGGAGCUCCUGCCUCAAGCUUGAAGUUACUUGAUCCUAUCUGAGGGGCAGGAAAGAUAUCUACGAUUCACGAUGAGCACAAAAGUGGUAGAGGAACUUGAGAAAAUCAGUCUGAAUUUGAUGUGAAGCAAAAUUUAAGCUCAAAAUGCUGUUACAUGUGAUGGUUAGGUUCAGAAAUAAAAACUAUUUAAAUCUUGAUUCAUUAAACUUUUUGGACAGGCUUAAAAUUUUUCAUUCAAACAUAUAAAGACUUAUAUCUAGGGAAAAAUGAAAUAUUAGGUUCCAAAUAACUGAUUUAAAUGAGAAUUGUUUUAGGGCCAACAAACGUGUAAUUUGUAGAAUAACUAUAGCCAAUUUGAGCCAAAAUAAGUAAGUAUAUGAAUUUAUGUUGUUACUUACUAUAUUCCUUUCUAUCCUUUAGCACUAAUCACGAUAACGUGACAUCAGAAAGCUUGGAUGAAGUCAAAAGUGAAAGGUGAUGCCUUUAUACACACACACAUAUUUAGAUAUAUAUAUAUAUAUACACACACACAUAAACACACAUAUGCAUAUAUACACACACAUAUACAUAUGUAUAUAGAUAUGGAAAGAGAGGGAGAAAGACAGAAAGAUGGGGGGAAUUAAGAUUGGUGAAAUUCAGUUUCAGAAUUUUUCAUAGGAAACAGUUUUCAGGACAGUGAUUCUGAAAUUGUGUCUAAACAUUUAGGUCAUGUUUACUACAUCUUUUAGACUCAUACACAUCAUGGCUCAAAGUGGCAAAUCUCUAAUCAUAUGUUUUUGCAUUUGUUGAUAUUUACAGUGAAAUACAACUGCCAGGAUUCAAUGAUGUUGAUGAAGACAUUGACUAUCUUGCUUCAUAUGA
This is a long non-coding RNA of Microcebus murinus (gray mouse lemur), 4350 nucleotides long. NCBI's taxonomy places the organism in Eukaryota, Metazoa, Chordata, Mammalia, Primates, Cheirogaleidae. The record is from Ensembl.